GCGGGUAGCGGGCAACGAUUUCCGCAAUCCCUUCGCCCGUCGCCUUCGCAAUGCGAAGGUCGGAGGUUCGACUCCUCUUAUCGGCA
This 86-nucleotide transfer RNA is filed under the name Escherichia coli. RNAcentral describes it as "tRNA-Ala". The record is from RNAcentral. Lineage: Bacteria; Pseudomonadati; Pseudomonadota; Gammaproteobacteria; Enterobacterales; Enterobacteriaceae.